AGGGAAAGGUGAAAAGCACCCUAAACAAGGGAGUGAAAUAGUACCUGAAACCGUGUGCCUACAAGCGGUCGGAGUCCGCACAGCAAUGUGUGGGAUGACGGCGUGCCUUUUGCAUAAUGAGCCUACGAGUUACUCCUCACUGGCGAGGUUAAGCUGAAAUAGCGGAGCCGUAGCGAAAGCAAGUCCAAAUAGGGCGACUAGUCAGUGGGGGUAGACGCGAAACUUUGUGAUCUAUCCAUGGGCAGGUUGAAGGUUUGGUAACACAAACUGGAGGACCGAACCCGUUGACGUUGAAAAGUCUUGGGAUGACCUGUGGAUAGGGGUGAAAGGCCAAUCAAACUGAGAGAUAGCUCGUUCUCCCCGAAAUGUUUUUAGGAACAGCCUCGGAUUAUGAAGUCUGUUAGAGGUAGAGCUACUGAUUGGGCUAGGGGGCUUCACCGCCUACCAAACCCUGACAAACUCCGAAUGCUAUCAUAUAUCUCCGGGAGUGAGGCUGCGGGCGCUAAGGUCCGUGGCCGAGAGGGAAAUAACCCAGAAUAGCAGCUAAGGUCCCUAAUAAGUAGUUAAGUUGAUCAAACGAGGUAGGACUUCUAUAACAGCCAGGAUGUUUGCUUGGAAGCAGCAAUUCAUUUAAAGAGUGCGUAACAGCUCACUGGUCGAGAGGUCCUGCACGGAAAAUAAUCGGGCAUCAAACUACUAACCGAAGCUUUAUGAUUGCCACUUGGUGGUAUAUCGGUAGGGGAGCAUUGAAACUGCAUUGAAGGUGUACGGUGACGUAUGCUGGAGCGGCUUCAAAAGAAAAUGUAGGCAUAAGUAACGAUAAAUAAGGUGAAAAACCUUAUCGCCGAAAGUCUAAGGGUUCCUGAUCAACGUUAAUCGGAUCAGGGUUAGCCCGGUCCUUAGUCAAACCCGAAAGGGGUAGAUGAUGGAAAGCAGGUUAAUAUUCCUGCGCCUGCUAUACAAUGAAAGUGACGGAGAAUGCUAGUCGUAUAAGCUGACGGAAUAGCUGAGUGGAUCCUUCGGGUGAAGCGUAACGAUGAAAGUUCUUCCAAGAAAAGCGAGUAUAGCAGCCGGUACCGCAAACCGACACAGGUAGACGGGAUGAAUAUUCUAAGGCGCUCGGGUGAGCCGUGGAGAAGGAACUAGGCAAAUUGACGCUGUAACUUCGGGAUAAAGCGUACCCACUUCGGUGGGUCUCAGUAAAAUGGUUCAACCAACUGUUUAACAAAAACACAGGGCCCUGCAAAAUCGAAAGAUGACGUAUAGAGCCUGAUACCUGCCCGGUGCUGGAAGGUUAAGGAAGGGUGUUCGCCGCAAGGCAAAGCUCCUGACUGAAGCCCCAGUAAACGGCGGCCGUAACUAUAACGGUCCUAAGGUAGCGAAAUUCCUUGUCGGGUAAGUUCCGACCUGCACGAAUGGUCUAAUGAGUUGAACACUGUCUCCUCCACGAGCCCGGUGAAAUUGUAGUAUCGGUGAAGAUGCCGGUUACCCGCCACGGGACGGAAAGACCCCGUGAACCUUCACUACAACUUUGCAUUGAUUUUGAAUUACGGAUGUGUAGAAUAGUUGGGACGCUUUGAAGCCUUGCCGCCAGGUAGGGUGGAGCGGUCGUUGAAAUACCAACCUUCUUUGAUUUAGAGUCUAAUCCCUAACGGGAAACAGUGCAUGGUGGGUAGUUUGACUGGGGUGGUCGCCUCCUAAA
RNAcentral lists this ribosomal RNA (1702 nucleotides) under activated sludge metagenome. Its description in RNAcentral is "bacterial LSU rRNA". It matches the Rfam family "Bacterial large subunit ribosomal RNA", at positions 506 to 2294 of the family's 2925-position model. The record is from RNAcentral.